UUUUCCGCAAUGGGCGAAAGCCUGACGGAGCAAUACCGCGUGAGGGAGGAAGGCUCUUGGGUUGUAAACCUCUUUUCUCAGGGAAGAACAAAAUGACGGUACCUGAGGAAUAAGCAUCGGCUAACUCCGUGCCAGCAGCCGCGGUAAUACGGAGGAUGCAAGCGUUAUCCGGAAUGAUUGGGCGUAAAGCGUCCGCAGGUGGCAUUGAAAGUCUGCUGUCAAAGAGUCUGGCUCAACCAGAUAAAGGCAGUGGAAACUACAAAGCUAGAGUACGUUCGGGGCAGAGGGAAUUCCUGGUGUAGCGGUGAAAUGCGUAGAGAUCAGGAAGAACACCGGUGGCGAAAGCGCUCUGCUAGGCCGUAACUGACACUGAGGGACGAAAGCUAGGGGAGCGAAUGGGAUUAG
RNAcentral lists this ribosomal RNA (405 nucleotides) under uncultured cyanobacterium. RNAcentral's name for it is "bacterial SSU rRNA". It matches the Rfam family "Bacterial small subunit ribosomal RNA", at positions 362 to 781 of the family's 1533-position model. The record is from RNAcentral. Lineage: Bacteria; Bacillati; Cyanobacteriota.